GGCUCAGGAUGAACGCUAGCGGCAGGCUUAACACAUGCAAGUCGAGGGGUAACAGGUUCCUUCGGGAAUGCUGACGACCGGCGCACGGGUGAGUAACGCGUAUGCAACCUUCCUGUAUCUGGAGGAUAGGCCUGGAAACGAGGAUAAUACUGCGUAACAUUAUAUUAUCGCAUGGUAAAAUAAUCAAAUCUACGGAGGAUACAGAUGGGCAUGCGUGCCAUUAGCUAGAUGGUAAGGUAAGGGCUUACCAUGGCGACGAUGGCUAGGGGUUCUGCAAGGAAGAUCCCCCACACUGGUACUGAGACACGGACCAGACUCCUACGGGAGGCAGCAGUGAGGAAUAUUGGUCAAUGGAGGCAACUCUGAACCAGCCAAGCCGCGUGAAGGAAGACUGUUCUAUGAAUUGUAAACUUCUUUUGUGACAGAGUAAAGAUAGCUACGCGUAGUUAUUUGCAAGUAUGUCAUGAAUAAGCAUCGGCUAACUCCGUGCCAGCAGCCGCGGUAAUACGGAGGAUGCAGGCGUUAUCCGGAUUUAUUAGGUUUAAAGGGUGUUCAGGCUGUCUGGUAAGUCAGAGGUGAAAGUCGGUUGCUUAACGAUCGAAUUGCCUUUGAAACUGUCAGACUUGAGUAUGGAUGCGGUAGGCGGAAUGUGUAGUGUAGCGGUGAAAUGCAUAGAUAUUACACAGAACACCGAUUGCGAAAGCAGCUUACCAAACCAGCACUGACGCUGAAGCACGAAAGCGUGGGUAGCGAACAGGAUUAGAUACCCUGGUAGUCCACGCAGUAAACGAUGCUCACUCGCUGUUGGCAAUAGAUCGUCAGCGGCUAAGGGAAACCGAUAAGUGAGCCACCUGGGGAGUACGAUCGCAAGAUUGAAACUCAAAGGAAUUGACGGGGGCCCGCACAAGCGGUGGAAAUGUGGUUAAUUCGAUGAUACGCGAGGAACCUUACCUGGGCUUAAAUGUACGAUGCAUAAGUGUGAAAGCACUUUUUCCUUCGGGACUUUGUACAAGGUGCUGCAUGGUGUCGUCAGCUCGUGCCGUGAG
This 1046-nucleotide ribosomal RNA is filed under the name uncultured organism. Its description in RNAcentral is "bacterial SSU rRNA". It matches the Rfam family "Bacterial small subunit ribosomal RNA", at positions 21 to 1071 of the family's 1533-position model. The record is from RNAcentral.